UACGAAGGGGGCUAGCGUUGCUCGGAAUCACUGGGCGUAAAGCGCACGUAGGCGGGUCCUUAAGUCAGGGGUGAAAUCCCGGAGCUCAACUCCGGAACUGCCUUUGAUACUGGGGAUCUUGAGUCCGGAAGAGGUGAGUGGAACUCCGAAUGUAGAGGUGAAAUUCGUAGAUAUUCGGAAGAACACCAGUGGCGAAGGCGGCUCACUGGUCCGGUACUGACGCUGAGGUGCGAAAGCGUGGGGAGCGAACAGG
Molecule: ribosomal RNA, 253 nt
Filed under: uncultured bacterium
Lineage: Bacteria
Description: partial 16S ribosomal RNA
Rfam family: Bacterial small subunit ribosomal RNA
Source: RNAcentral